UACAGAGGUCUCAAGCGUUGUUCGGAAUCACUGGGCGUAAAGCGUGCGUAGGCUGUUUCGUAAGUCGUGUGUGAAAGGCGCGGGCUCAACCCGCGGACGGCACAUGAUACUGCGAGACUAGAGUAAUGGAGGGGGAACCGGAAUUCUCGGUGUAGCAGUGAAAUGCGUAGAUAUCGAGAGGAACACUCGUGGCGAAGGCGGGUUCCUGGACAUUAGCUGACGCUGAGGCACGAAGGCCAGGGGAGCGAAAGGG
RNAcentral lists this ribosomal RNA (253 nucleotides) under uncultured bacterium. RNAcentral describes it as "partial 16S ribosomal RNA". It matches the Rfam family "Bacterial small subunit ribosomal RNA", at positions 524 to 776 of the family's 1533-position model. The record is from RNAcentral.